Phyllopteryx taeniolatus (common seadragon) is the source of this 906-nucleotide long non-coding RNA. RefSeq lists it as uncharacterized. The record is from RefSeq and is a predicted model, not a curated record. Lineage: Eukaryota; Metazoa; Chordata; Actinopteri; Syngnathiformes; Syngnathidae. The transcript has 2 exons.
UCCUUUGGCUCUGGACAAACCGCCCACCCCCAUUUUUUAUUUAUUUUUUGUCACCACGAACGACUCCCUGGUGAGGUGUUCCGGGCACGUCCCACCAGGAGGAGACCCCGGGAACAACCCAGGACACGCUGGAGAGACUACAUCCUUCGGCUGGCCUGGGAACGCCUCGGGAUUCCCCCGGAAGAGCUGGAUGAAGUGGCUGGGGAGAGGGAAGUCUGGGCGUCCCUGCUAAAGCUACUGCCCCCGCGACCCGACCUCGGAUAAGCGGUCAUGGAACAGGCCUGUAAUGACAUAGGUGUGGAGGUAUGCCAAGUAUGGAUCCGACAUACCAGGAGUUAUUUGCCACGUUUCCUAGCCAGGGAGAAUGUGGCCUGUGCUGUGGAUGAAAUCCUGUGGCCUGACCCAGCAGGCCGAGCUGAUGCUGUAGAUGAAUAAUUAUAGUAGAUACUGAAUGCACUUUUGUAGUUGUGAUUCUUGUCUGUUUUUUUUCACUAGUGCUGUACAGGGUUUUUGUGGUUUUUUUUGUAAAACACAAUCCUAUCGUUAUCCUACUAAGAUUAUUCCUGUCGCUUUAUGAUCUGAUCAGUGUGUUUUCUUUUUUUCUAUGUUGUGUGUUGUGUUGUCUGUUCAGUGGGGUUUUUCAUUUUGAAUGACUUUUGUGGAAAUAGUUUGGUUUCGCAAGAAGAGUCAGGUAUUGGUGAAUUUAGCUUGAAUUUUUGGAUUUGUGUUUAAGGUAUUGAGGAAAUGGGUGGAGGUUUCAAGCAAUGUGUUUUAACAAUUGAGAAAAAUUGUAAAAAAAAAAAAUAAAUCAAUCAGAGGAUGAACAUCAAAUAAAUGAUAUGCCAACAGAGUCGGUAUACGUUGGAAUACUUAUGUGCGAAAAUAAAAAUGAUGUAAAAAAAACAA